AGCGAACGCUGGCGGCAGGCCUAACACAUGCAAGUCGAACGAACCUUUCGGGGUUAGUGGCGGACGGGUGAGUAACACGUUGGAACGUGCCUUUAGGUUCGGAAUAACUCAGGGAACCUUGUGCUAAUACCGAAUGUGCCCUUCGGGGGAAAGAUUUAUCGCCUUUAGAGCGGCCCGCGUCUGAUUAGCUAGUUGGUUGAGGUAAUGGCUCACCAAGGCGACGAUCAGUAGCUGGUCUGAGAGGAUGAUCAGCCACAUUGGGACUGAGACACGGCCCAAACUCCUACGGGAGGCAGCAGUGGGGAAUCUUGCGCAAUGGGCGAAAGCCUGACGCAGCCAUGCCGCGUGAAUGAUGAAGGUCUUAGGAUUGUAAAAUUCUUUCACCGGGGACGAUAAUGACGGUACCCGGAGAAGAAGCCCCGGCUAACUUCGUG
Molecule: ribosomal RNA, 434 nt
Filed under: uncultured bacterium
Lineage: Bacteria
Description: partial 16S ribosomal RNA
Rfam family: Bacterial small subunit ribosomal RNA
Source: RNAcentral